Molecule: ribosomal RNA, 89 nt
Filed under: Crocodylus porosus (Australian saltwater crocodile)
Lineage: Eukaryota; Metazoa; Chordata; Crocodylia; Crocodylidae
Source: RNAcentral
CCGUGCUGCAUUAAUGUGCUAAUCUUGGAAAUUAAGCAGCCGUGGGCCUGGCUAGUACUUGGAUGGGAGACUGCCUUGGAUUCCCAGGC